This 679-nucleotide ribosomal RNA is filed under the name uncultured bacterium. Its description in RNAcentral is "bacterial SSU rRNA". It matches the Rfam family "Bacterial small subunit ribosomal RNA", at positions 335 to 1010 of the family's 1533-position model. The record is from RNAcentral.
UUCCCACGGGAGGCAGCAGUGGGGAAUUUUGGACAAUGGGGGCAACCCUGAUCCAGCCAUGCCGCGUGAGUGAAGAAGGCCUUCGGGUUGUAAAGCUCUUUCGGUGGGAACGAAACGGGCGCGGCUAACACCUGCGCUCAAUGACGGUACUCACAGAAGAAGCACCGGCUAACUACGUGCCAGCAGCCGCGGUAAUACGCAGGGUGCGAGCGUUAAUCGGAAUUACUGGGCGUAAAGCGUGCGCAGGCGGUGCGCCAAGCUCGAUGUGAAAGCCCCGGGCUUAACCUGGGAAUUGCAUUGAGGACUGGCGUGCUCGAGUGCGGCAGAGGGGGGUGGAAUUCCACGUGUAGCAGUGAAAUGCGUAGAGAUGUGGAGGAACACCGAUGGCGAAGGCAGCCCCCUGGGCCGACACUGACGCUCAUGCACGAAAGCGUGGGGAGCAAACAGGAUUAGAUACCCUGGUAGUCCACGCCCUAAACGAUGUCGACUGGUUGUUGGGGAAGGCAACUUCCUUAGUAACGAAGCUAACGCGUGAAGUCGACCGCCUGGGGAGUACGGCCGCAAGGUUAAAACUCAAAGGAAUUGACGGGGACCCGCACAAGCGGUGGAUGAUGUGGAUUAAUUCGAUGCAACUAAACCUUACCUACCCUUGACAUGUACCGAACCUGGCUGAGAGGCU